AGAGUUUGAUCCUGGCUCAGGACGAACGCUGGCGGCGUGCUUAACACAUGCAAGUCGAACGAGAAUCUACUGAAAGAGUUUUCGGACAAUGGAAGUAGAGGAAAGUGGCGGACGGGUGAGUAACGCGUGAGGAACCUGCCUUGAAGAGGGGGACAACAGUUGGAAACGACUGCUAAUACCGCAUGAUGCAUAAGGGUCGCAUGAUUCUUAUGCCAAAGAUUUAUCGCUUCAAGAUGGCCUCGCGUCUGAUUAGCUAGUUGGCGGGGUAACGGCCCACCAAGGCGACGAUCAGUAGCCGGACUGAGAGGUUGAACGGCCACAUUGGGACUGAGAUACGGCCCAGACUCCUACGGGAGGCAGCAGUGGGGAAUAUUGGGCAAUGGGCGCAAGCCUGACCCAGCAACGCCGCGUGAAGGAAGAAGGCUUUCGGGUUGUAAACUUCUUUUAAGAGGGAAGAGCAGAAGACGGUACCUCUAGAAUAAGCCACGGCUAACUACGUGCCAGCAGCCGCGGUAAUACGUAGGUGGCAAGCGUUGUCCGGAUUUACUGGGUGUAAAGGGCGUGCAGCCGGGUCUGCAAGUCAGAUGUGAAAUCCAUGGGCUCAACCCAUGAACUGCAUUUGAAACUGUAGAUCUUGAGUGUCGGAGGGGCAAUCGGAAUUCCUAGUGUAGCGGUGAAAUGCGUAGAUAUUAGGAGGAACACCAGUGGCGAAGGCGGAUUGCUGGACGAUAACUGACGGUGAGGCGCGAAAGUGUGGGGAGCAAACAGGAUUAGAUACCCUGGUAGUCCACACUGUAAACGAUGAAUACUAGGUGUGCGGGGACUGACCCCCUGCGUGCCGCAGUAAACACAAUAAGUAUUCCACCUGGGGAGU
This 874-nucleotide ribosomal RNA is filed under the name uncultured bacterium. Its description in RNAcentral is "bacterial SSU rRNA". It matches the Rfam family "Bacterial small subunit ribosomal RNA", at positions 8 to 881 of the family's 1533-position model. The record is from RNAcentral.